AAUAAGUGCAGUUUUGCACUAUUCAUGUUCAACGUUUGACCGUCCGUCUUAUUUAAAAAUUUUUUAUGAUUAGUAUUUUUAUUGCUAUUAGAUGAUAAAACAUGAAUAGUACUUUAUGUGUGACUAAAUGUUUUUAAUUUUUUCACAAAUUUUUCAAAUAAGAUGGAUGGUCAAACGUUGAACGUGAAUAGUGCAAAACUGCACUUAUU
Oryza sativa Indica Group (long-grained rice) is the source of this 209-nucleotide microRNA precursor. It matches the Rfam family "MIR812 microRNA precursor family". Lineage: Eukaryota; Viridiplantae; Streptophyta; Magnoliopsida; Poales; Poaceae. The record is from Rfam.